RNAcentral lists this non-coding RNA (24 nucleotides) under Arabidopsis thaliana (thale cress). Lineage: Eukaryota; Viridiplantae; Streptophyta; Magnoliopsida; Brassicales; Brassicaceae. The record is from RNAcentral.
AGGUUAGUAAGCGUGAGGAGUUGU